RNAcentral lists this unclassified non-coding RNA (226 nucleotides) under Hevea brasiliensis (rubber tree). The record is from RNAcentral. Lineage: Eukaryota; Viridiplantae; Streptophyta; Magnoliopsida; Malpighiales; Euphorbiaceae.
AGCUUGUCCUAUUCGAUUCUUAGCAAAUGAGCUUCGAUUAUACCGAGGUUGAUGCUGUCACUGGCAAAAUCCGGAAACAAAGUCGAAAGGAAAAAAUCUGCGACUUUUGGUUCAAAGUCUUUAUCAAGAAGGACGUUAGCUGCUUUGAUGUUUCCAUGCAUAAUUUUUAGUUUACCUUCAUGUAAAUGACGUUUCAAGGUCCCGUUGGGAACAAACUCUAAAACAA